This is a long non-coding RNA of Homo sapiens (human), 1509 nucleotides long. Ensembl annotates it as long intergenic non-protein coding RNA 1801. The record is from Ensembl. Lineage: Eukaryota; Metazoa; Chordata; Mammalia; Primates; Hominidae.
UGAGACAGCAAGACCAACCCCUCCUUUUCAUCCUCCUCCUCCUCCUCAGCCUACUCAACAUGAAAAUGACAAGGAUGAAACCUUUAUGAUGAUCCACUCAUCCAUUUUCUUUUCUCUAGCUUAUUGUGAACAUCUUAGGCUAGUGUGUCGACUUCUGACUUGGCUCAUCUGAACCCAAGUCCUUGGACACAUUCACAAACACCCCAGGGUCUUGGGCUUCCAGUUUGUGCUAGAAGGACAAAGGGCAGGUGAAGCUUGUUUGCCGUAACUAGAAGGAGCAGAAACUGCUCCCAGCAGAACAAGAUCAAAUCAUGGGGAACAGUGGUCACCUGCCAUUUCUAGAGGAAGCUUUUGCUUUUGGUCACUGAGGACCCUAAGUCUUACAUGAGAAGAAAACAAAUAGGGUGAUGCUGCAUGCUUCUGUCCCCAAAGAAUCCCUGUGCAGGUGCCGAGGGUGCCCCAAAGACGAGGCUGUGCUUGCCGUGCCCACCACAGAAGCACAUUUGACCUGAUCAAAAGCAGGUGGAAAAGGUCCUGAAGCACAGAUAUUUUCUCAGUGAUGUUGUUUUCUCCAAAAUGAAAGAGGGAAGGUACCCUGGCUUAGGCCCCUGGUGUUCUGAUUGAAGGUGAGAAUGGAAGUAUCUUCUUCAACAUGUUCUCCCAUCUGACUGCAACAAGUGUGCUCCAGCCACCAGUGUCCCAGUUGCUCUGAAUGAUGGUGAGAAGGGUACCCAAACACUUGAAUGGUACUGUACCCUCUACUUGCCAUCUGAAUCCUCACUUGUGGAACCCAGGCACUCUGGCUGUAUUCGCGAGUAAGCAUAGGUGUGGGACUGUGUCCUGCCAUUGCACCAUCUUUAAUCUGGACUUGUGGACCUCAGGCUCUCUGACUAUUCAUGGACAGAAGUUUCUGCAGGCACAGGUGGGGUGCUGUUUCCUCCCAUUGUACACCUGAAUUCAGGACUUGUGGACCCCAGGUGUUCUGGCUGUGUUCAUGAACAGAAGUGUCCCCCCCAAACAAACCCAUAUAUGGUGCCAUCUCCUCCCAUUACAGUCACAGAUAUGGCACCAGCCCCUCCAACAGAAACAGAUGUGCUCAAGCUGAGUGGUCCAAAGGCGUUUGACAGAAGUCAUGAACAGAAGUAUCUUGGGGCACAUGUUUCUUCUCUGUUGUGCAGGCUUCUCCAGCAGUAACAGGUUUGCCCAGGCCAUAUGGGCCCCAAGCGCUCUGACCAGACACAAGAAGAGAAGACUUGCAGUCACAGGGUAUCUUCUUCCAAAAUUGGAACUGAGCUACCUGAUGGAAAAUGAGCAAGAUUAUUGUGUGGUGAAGAGAGGCCUCUCAUAAAGUUCCUGUCCAGAUGUGCCUUCUCUCUGGAUCCACAUUUCUUCUCUCAUCACAGAUCUUUCACCUGGUAUCACUUUUUGUCAUCCUUAAAUAGAAUUUUCUUUAAGAAUUUCAUUUUAUGCAGGUUAAUUUUCCAUUAAAUUUCUUAUUUUUGCUCUGAA